RNAcentral lists this ribosomal RNA (507 nucleotides) under uncultured bacterium. Its description in RNAcentral is "bacterial SSU rRNA". It matches the Rfam family "Bacterial small subunit ribosomal RNA", at positions 1 to 507 of the family's 1533-position model. The record is from RNAcentral.
ACGUCUACGAGUUUGAUCCUGGCUCAGGAUGAACGCUAGCGGCAGGCCUAACACAUGCAAGUCGAGGGGUAGGGUUAGCUUGCUAACUUGAGACCGGCGCACGGGUGCGUAACGCGUAUGCAAUCUACCUUGUACAGAGGGAUAGCCCAGAGAAAUUUGGAUUAAUACCUCAUAGUAUCUUUACCUGGCAUCGGGUAAUUAUUAAAGUUCCAACGGUACAAGAUGAGCAUGCGUCCCAUUAGUUAGUUGGUAAGGUAACGGCUUACCAAGACAAUGAUGGGUAGGGGUCCUGAGAGGGAGAUCCCCCACACUGGUACUGAGACACGGACCAGACUCCUACGGGAGGCGGCAGUGAGGAAUAUUGGUCAAUGGACGCAAGUCUGAACCAGCCAUGCCGCGUGCAGGAAGACGGUCCUAUGGAUUGUAAACUGCUUUUAUACAGGAAGAAACAACUCUACGUGUAGAGUCUUGACGGUACUGUAGGAAUAAGGAUCGGCUAACUCCGUG